Molecule: ribosomal RNA, 497 nt
Filed under: uncultured bacterium
Lineage: Bacteria
Description: partial 16S ribosomal RNA
Rfam family: Bacterial small subunit ribosomal RNA
Source: RNAcentral
GAUGAACGCUGGCGGCGUGCCUAAUACAUGCAAGUCGAGCGAACAGAUAAGGAGCUUGCUCCUUUGACGUUAGCGGCGGACGGGUGAGUAACACGUGGGUAACCUACCUAUAAGACUGGGAUAACUUCGGGAAACCGGAGCUAAUACCGGAUAACAUUUGGAACCGCAGGGUUCUAAAGUGAAAGAUGGUUUUGCUAUCACUUAUAGAUGGACCCGCGCCGUAUUAGCUAGUUGGUAAGGUAACGGCUUACCAAGGCGACGAUACGUAGCCGACCUGAGAGGGUGGUCGCCCACCCUGGAACUGAGACACGGUCCAGACUCCUACGGGAGGCAGCAGUAGGGAAUCUUCCGCAAAGGGCGAAAGCCUGACGGAGCAACGCCGCGUGAGUGAUGAAGGGUUUCGGCUCGUAAAACUCCGUUAUUAGGGAAGAACAAAUGUGUAAGUAACUGUGCACGUCUUGACGGUACCUAAUCAGAAAGCCACGGCUAACUACGUG